RNAcentral lists this long non-coding RNA (646 nucleotides) under Olea europaea subsp. europaea. The record is from RNAcentral. Lineage: Eukaryota; Viridiplantae; Streptophyta; Magnoliopsida; Lamiales; Oleaceae.
GUAGUACAUUGACCUGUCAUGGACUUGUUGUACGAUCGAGCUGAGAGAUAUCCACGAUCGUUCCACAUUCCUGGCCAAAUAAUACUUAACAUCAAGUUCUUUUGUGCCGUUACCAUCGAGUACCAGUCGCUCCAGCUUAUAGGUAACGAGUACAUGGUGCCCAAGUAUAUGCUUGAGUGGGUCAUCGAGGGAAAACCAUGGGAGGGUUGUACGCAUAUGUACAUUCCAGUAAUCGUGAAUCAUCACUGCAUUACUCUGAAGAUUGUGUAGCUAACUCGACGAUAUAUGUGUAUGACCCCAAUCACUUAUGUCUGACAUAGUGACAGCUCUAGCUGAACUUAAAGCCAGUGGUUGUGAUUGUUCCUCUGAUGGCUAGACAAACGGGCUUAACUUUGCAGGAAAGACUAGCCAUCGUGCGGGACACGACAACUGCGAGACAGUCCAUAUCGUAAGUGUUUGUAAAUUUAUUUUUAAAAUUAUAAAUUAGUUUUUACGUAAUUGGAACUGAACUAACAAUUCUUGUUCAUUUGCAGGGGCUACUGUGGCAUUUUUGCAAUUAAGUACAUUGAAUUUUUUUGUAUAGCACAUAAGGUUGAUGAAAUCAACCAAUUUUGGAUACAUAGUGGGCAUGCGACUUAUACGACUU